This is a long non-coding RNA of Orbicella faveolata, 1332 nucleotides long. The record is from RefSeq and is a predicted model, not a curated record. NCBI's taxonomy places the organism in Eukaryota, Metazoa, Cnidaria, Anthozoa, Scleractinia, Merulinidae.
CAGGCAGGCUGGUUUGCUCUGAGGUCUUUGGUGGCUGGUUAUGCAGUAUUAGUAUUAUAAUGGGGCUUGUUUUUUAGUCUUAUGUGCCCAGCCAUGCUAAUUACAUUUUAAAAAGCUUUGAGCAGUAGAGGCUCUUCUUGCUAUCGAGUAAAUAUAACCUCAAAGCACAUUUCCGUCCUGAAUUCGGAAAAUAAGUCUCUUUCAAAAGCGAAUAGAUCCUUGCAACUGUAUUUCAAUCAUGCCUAUGAUUCAGUCGUGUAUUCGAUUUGACUAAACUAGGCCUAAUGCUGUGACAGGUUUUUCAAUCGUUAAAAUGAUGACCAUAGUGGUGUGGGUUCUCAAACCUCUACUGAUGCUUUCUCCAGUAAACUAACAGUAGUACCAAUCUACAUCCGGAAACUUUCCGCGGUAUAGGCGGAUUCAAUUUCUAAAGGGAUGUCUUAUGAGUUAGCAAUUUGAACUUAAACGUAAGUUAGAACAUUAGCAGAACUUGAAAAUCACAAAGGAAAUUAGACUCUCAAUGUUCGUCUAUAAACCGAACAAUAAACAAGUUUCCCCUUGAAAAUGACACACAUCCAUUCAACUUAUGAGUCACGCGGUAAUUUUUUGCUGAUCGCCUGAUGUUGUCAUAAGACGUUUCCUGCAAUAUUUCAGGCGGUACCUACAAUCGUUGACAUGUACUAAAAUCUGAAAAAACCAAGAGACCGGGGAAACGAAAAGAGCAAAACCACCAAAAUGAAACCGCCAAAACGACUAAAAAGGGUACACGGGCGAUAGCAGCCUAAUCUCGGCGUUCUUUGGGCUCACCGUGGCGCUAUUCAGGCUAUCAGAAGCCGAGGCAUAUUGCAGACAGACAGAAAUCCACUCUGGUUAGCCUGAAUACCUACCCAAAAUAAGUAAGUACACCUUACUGUUAGUGAGAACAAGUAAGGAUUUUUUUGUUGCAAGCGAUGAAACCAGAUAUUACGUUACAAACGGUACAUUGACAUUUGUUUUUCACGAAAAGGUAGUUUCAGUUAAAACUGACCAUCCAGUGACUCUUAUUCUCGUGAUAAUAAACUAACAAGAAAGCAAAUAAAGCAGCAUGUCAAGAAUGAGUUAUGCAACCAUUUGUUGGCAUGUUUUCAAAGAACGUCUCCGGCACUGGCACUUUUUAGUAUCUUGUAUCAAUAUAUAGGCAUUCUACGGAAAGGGGUGUUAAAAACCACUAUUAAAUAUUUGGCUGAUAUUUUCUUAAGAAAAUUAUAACAUGAAAGUACAAACUACUCAGUGUAUAAUAUACAGAACAACUAAUUGAUAGUUGAGCACAGAAUUUUGCUACCGUCAUCGUUG